GCCUGAUUAGCAUAGUGGCUAAUGCGUUGCACUUGUAUCUAUGGCCCCUCCCCCUCUCUCGGAUGGGGCCGCGACAGACAGACAUGCAAAGAUCACAGGUUCGAUUCCUGUAUUAGGCA
This 119-nucleotide transfer RNA is filed under the name Chaetomium tenue. Its description in RNAcentral is "tRNA-Thr". It matches the Rfam family "tRNA". Rfam says of the family: Transfer RNA (tRNA) molecules are approximately 80 nucleotides in length. Their secondary structure includes four short double-helical elements and three loops (D, anti-codon, and T loops). Further hydrogen bonds mediate the characteristic L-shaped molecular structure. tRNAs have two regions of fundamental functional importance: the anti-codon, which is responsible for specific mRNA codon recognition, and the 3' end, to which the tRNAs corresponding amino acid is attached (by aminoacyl-tRNA synthetases). tRNAs cope with the degeneracy of the genetic code in two manners: having more than one tRNA (with a specific anti-codon) for a particular amino acid; and 'wobble' base-pairing, i.e. permitting non-standard base-pairing at the 3rd anti-codon position. Lineage: Eukaryota; Fungi; Ascomycota; Sordariomycetes; Sordariales; Chaetomiaceae. The record is from RNAcentral.